This 233-nucleotide ribosomal RNA is filed under the name uncultured bacterium. RNAcentral's name for it is "partial 16S ribosomal RNA". It matches the Rfam family "Bacterial small subunit ribosomal RNA", at positions 105 to 334 of the family's 1533-position model. The record is from RNAcentral.
ACGGUGAGUAACACGUAUCCAACCUGCCGUCUACUCUUGGACAGCCUUCUGAAAGGAAGAUUAAUACAAGAUGGCAUCAUGAGUCCGCAUGUUCACAUGAUUAAAGGUAUUUUCCGGUAGACGAUGGGGAUGCGUUCCAUUAGAUAGUAGGCGGGGUAACGGCCCACCUAGUCAACGAUGGAUAGGGGUUCUGAGAGGAAGGUCCCCCACAUUGGAACUGAGACACGGUCCAA